UNUGACUUGAGUGCAGAAGGGGAGAGUGGAAUNCCAUGUGUAGCGGUGAAAUGCGUAGAUAUAUGGAGGANCACCAGUGGCGAAAGCGGCUCUCUGGUCUGUCACUGACGCUGAGGCUCGAAAGCGUGGGUAGCGAACAGGAUUAGAUACCCUGGUAGUCCACGCCGUAAACGAUGAGUGCUAGGUGUUAGGCCCUUUCCGGGGCUUAGUGCCGGAGCUAACGCAAUAAGCACUCCGCCUGGGGAGUACGACCGCAAGGUUGAAACUCAAAGGAAUUGACGGGGGCCCGCACAAGCGGUGGAGCAUGUGGUUUAAUUCGAAGCAACGCGAAGAACCUUACCAGGUCUUGACAUCCCGAUGCUAUUCUUAGAGAUAGGAAGUUACUUCGGUACAUCGGAGACAGGUGGUGCAUGGUUGUCGUCAGCUCGUGUCGUGAGAUGUUGGGUUAAGUCCCGCAACGAGCGCAACCCUUAUUGUUAGUUGCCAUCAUUAAGUUGGGCACUCUAGCGAGACUGCCGGUAAUAAACCGGAGGAAGGUGGGGAUGACGUCAAAUCAUCAUGCCCCUUAUGACCUGGGCUACACACGUGCUACAAUGGUCGGUACAACGAGUUGCGAGCCGGUGACGGCAAGCUAAUCUCUGAAAGCCGAUCUCAGUUCGGAUUGGAGGCUGCAACUCGCCUCCAUGAAGUCGGAAUCGCUAGUAAUCGCGGAUCAGCACGCCGCGGUGAAUACGUUCCCGGGCCUUGUACACACCGCCCGUCACACCACGAGAGUUUGUAACACCCGAAGUCGGUGAGGUAACCUUUUAGG
This 811-nucleotide ribosomal RNA is filed under the name uncultured bacterium. RNAcentral describes it as "bacterial SSU rRNA". It matches the Rfam family "Bacterial small subunit ribosomal RNA", at positions 636 to 1446 of the family's 1533-position model. The record is from RNAcentral.